Non-coding RNA from Pelobates cultripes (western spadefoot toad), 560 nucleotides. The record is from the annotation of a GenBank genome assembly. Lineage: Eukaryota; Metazoa; Chordata; Amphibia; Anura; Pelobatidae.
UUUAAGUUCAAUGGGUGAGAAGCCGUCACUAAGCAUUUUCUGGUCCGGCAGGCGGUUAAAGGUUUCAGGAGAGGGAAGAAGACGGUUGAUACGAGGAGGCCAUUGUUUUUCGGGAUAUUACAAAGGUUGGUGGAGGCGCUGCCCGAAAUUUGCCUCUCUCCAUUCGAGGUGGCAUUGUUCGCAGGGGCGUUUGUUUGGGCCUUUUUUGGGACUUUUUGGAUAGGGGAGUUGGUAAGCGCGAAUAAAGCGGGUGUAGGAGGGCUGCAGCUCGAGGACGUUGCAAUAAGCACUGACAGAGUGCGUAUUAAGCUGGGCCGAUCCAAAACUGACAUUUUUGGCAAAGGUUGCUCAGUGGUGUUGUUCAAGUUGCCGGGAUCCGAGGUAUGCCCUGUGGAGCAGGGUGCGGGGUAGCUGGUGCUACGCCGGGUGGUUAAGGGCUGUUUUUUCGUGCACGCUGAAGGUGCGGCGCAGUCACGUUUUCAGUUCACAAGGGUCUUGCAGCUGAGAUUACAGAAGCUGGGCUUGGAGUCUAGGCAGUUCCGGACACAUUCGUUCCGUAU